RNAcentral lists this unclassified non-coding RNA (345 nucleotides) under soil metagenome. RNAcentral describes it as "partial contains 5.8S ribosomal RNA, internal transcribed spacer 2, and large subunit ribosomal RNA". The stretch from base 1 to 121 matches the Rfam family "5.8S ribosomal RNA", at positions 35 to 154 of the family's 154-position model. The record is from RNAcentral.
GAUGAAGAACGCAGCGAAUUGCGAUAUGUAAUGUGAAUUGCAGAUUUUCAGUGAAUCAUCGAAUCUUUGAACGCACCUUGCGCUCCUUGGUAUUCCGAGGAGCAUGCCUGUUCGAGUGUCAUUAUCCUCCCUCAAACCCCGGGUUUGGUGUUGGACCCAAGUUGUGUGAACAACUGGUCUCAAAGACAAUGACGGCGUCCGUGGGACCCUCGGUGCAACGAGCUUUUAGGAGCACGCAUCGAGUUGCAAGGACCUUCCGGGCCGGUCUCCUUUACCAUUUUACAAGGUUGACCUCGGAUCAGGUAGGAAUACCCGCUGAACUUAAGCAUAUCAAUAAGCGGAGGA